RNAcentral lists this ribosomal RNA (311 nucleotides) under uncultured bacterium. Its description in RNAcentral is "partial 16S ribosomal RNA". It matches the Rfam family "Bacterial small subunit ribosomal RNA", at positions 502 to 808 of the family's 1533-position model. The record is from RNAcentral.
UAAGAGACAGCAGUAGCCGCGGUAAUACGUAGGUCCCGAGCGUUGUCCGGAUUUAUUGGGCGUAAAGCGAGCGCAGGCGGUUAGAUAAGUCUGAAGUUAAAGGCUGUGGCUUAACCAUAGUACGCUUUGGAAACUGUUUAACUUGAGUGCAGAAGGGGAGAGUGGAAUUCCAUGUGUAGCGGUGAAAUGCGUAGAUAUAUGGAGGAACACCGGUGGCGAAAGCGGCUCUCUGGUCUGUAACUGACGCUGAGGCUCGAAAGCGUGGGGAGCAAACAGGAUUAGAUACCCCCGUAGUCCCUGUCUCUUAUACA